Molecule: long non-coding RNA, 874 nt
Organism: Topomyia yanbarensis
Lineage: Eukaryota; Metazoa; Arthropoda; Insecta; Diptera; Culicidae
Exons: 3
Source: RefSeq, a predicted model, not a curated record
GGAACUGGCAACGCUACCUGAUUGAAGCAUGCUGUUUUCCGUUUGUUUAUAAAACUAAGCAACGUUCGGUAUCCUUCGUGGGUAUCCAGGUGAUAAUCCAGCAAAGAGUUGCAAUAUCAUAUACGAUUGGGUGCAUUGCUGGUCUUUUCUGGGACAGCCAGGAAAACCGCAAAUGGUAUACCGGACAACGAUGACGACGAAGCGGUUUGCACAAUACAUUAAUUCUAAUGACUGCAUUUACUCGCUCGAUAUUUGUAUGCUAACCCAGUAAAGUCCAGCCAGAAUAUGAAAUUGAAAUUCCUUUCAGUGCCUAUAAAACAAAAUUCCAGAAAAACUAUCCGAGACGGUCGUUGCAUUUUAACUGGAAUUCUUACAAGAUUCCGAAUCGAUUGGAUGGGUAACGGUGUUCCAAGUUUUUCUCGUAUUCAUCUAAUACGGAAUCGAUUCUUUGGAGCGUAAGCUGAACUAUCUUCGACCCAUGAUUCAUCAUAUAUUUUCAAACGCAUGGUCGGAAAAGUAACUAAAUGCAAAAUAAUAAUGUUGGUACUUGUAGUAGCAUCAGUAGUGCAAACAGAUGAAACUUGCAACUGCUUUAAACCAUUUGAUAAUGCAUCCGAUAUGAAAACUGUCUUUAGUUAUUUGCAUCAAUAUGUUAACAUAUUAUAGUUAGCACAGCACGGUUCCUUGAACGCCGCCCAAUGGCAUUCACAACUCGUACUUUGUUCAGAUAGGGAUUGGAUUCAUGCAUGCGUACAAUUCAGUUUAACGUGAAUGUCGUUCAGCAAGAUAUCAUGAUAUAUUGAAUAUAACCAACAAACCCGUAACGAUAGACGAUGUUAACUCCCGAAAUCAACUUCCAUACCAAAUAAAGCGC